Molecule: ribosomal RNA, 253 nt
Filed under: uncultured bacterium
Lineage: Bacteria
Description: partial 16S ribosomal RNA
Rfam family: Bacterial small subunit ribosomal RNA
Source: RNAcentral
UACGAAGGGGGCUAGCGUUGUUCGGAAUUACUGGGCGUAAAGCGUAUGCAGGCGGACUUUUAAGUCGGGGGUGAAAUCCCGAGGCUCAACCUCGGAACUGCCUUCGAUACUGGAAGUCUUGAGUCCGGGAGAGGUGAGUGGAACUCCGAGUGUAGAGGUGAAAUUCGUAGAUAUUCGGAAGAACACCAGUGGCGAAGGCGGCUCACUGGCCCGGUACUGACGCUGAGAUACGAAAGCGUGGGGAGCAGACAGG